Molecule: ribosomal RNA, 506 nt
Filed under: uncultured bacterium
Lineage: Bacteria
Description: partial 16S ribosomal RNA
Rfam family: Bacterial small subunit ribosomal RNA
Source: RNAcentral
AUUGAACGCUGGCGGCAGGCCUAACACAUGCAAGUCGAACGGUAACAGGAAACAGCUUGCUGUUUCGCUGACGAGUGGCGGACGGGUGAGUAAUGUCUGGGAAACUGCCUGAUGGAGGGGGAUAACUACUGGAAACGGUAGCUAAUACCGCAUAACGUCGCAAGACCAAAGAGGGGGACCUUCGGGCCUCUUGCCAUCGGCUGUGCCCAGAUGGGAUUAGCUAGGAGGUGGGGUAACGGCUCCCCUAGGCGACGAUCCCUAGCUGGUCUGAGAGGAUGACCAGACACACUGGAACUGAGACACGGUCCAGACUCCUACGGGAGGCAGCAGUGGGGAAUAUUGCACAAUGGGCGCAAGCCUGAUGCAGCCAUGUCGCGUGUAUGAAGAAGGCCUUCGGGUUGUAAAGUACUUUCAGCGGGGAGGAAGGGAGUAAAGUUAAUACCUUUGCUCAUUGACGUUACCCGCAGAAGAAGCACCGGCUAACUCCGUGCCAGCCGCCGCGGUAA